Molecule: ribosomal RNA, 530 nt
Filed under: Micrelus ferrugatus
Lineage: Eukaryota; Metazoa; Arthropoda; Insecta; Coleoptera; Curculionidae
Description: partial 16S ribosomal RNA
Rfam family: Bacterial large subunit ribosomal RNA
Source: RNAcentral
AAAAACAUGGCUUUUUGAGUUUAAUUUAAGGUCUGGCCUGCCCAAUGAGUUUUAAAUGGCCGCAGUAUCUUGACUGUGCAAAGGUAGCAUAAUCAUUAGUUUUUUAAUUGAAAGCUGGAAUGAAAGGUCGGAUGAGAAAAUAGCUGUCUCUAUAAAAAUUAAUUAGAAUUUUAUUUUUAAGUUAAAAAGCUUAAAUUUACAUAGAAGACGAGAAGACCCUAUAGAGUUUUAUAAAAAAUUAAAUUAAGGUUUAUUAGUAUUUUAAUAAAUUAAUUUGAUGGCUUAUUUAGUUGGGGUGAUUGAAAAAUUAAAUAAACUUUUUUUUUAUUAUUACAUUUAUUUAUGAGUAUUUGAUCCUUAAAUAAAGAUUAUAAGAUUAAAUUACCUUAGGGAUAACAGCGUAAUUUUUUUUGAGAGUUCAUAUCGAAAAAAAAGAUUGCGACCUCGAUGUUGGAUUAAAAUAAAUAUUUGGUGUAGAAGCUAAAUUAAUUGGGUCUGUUCGACCCUUAAAAUUUUACUUGAUCUGAGUU